RNAcentral lists this ribosomal RNA (437 nucleotides) under uncultured bacterium. RNAcentral's name for it is "bacterial SSU rRNA". It matches the Rfam family "Bacterial small subunit ribosomal RNA", at positions 42 to 473 of the family's 1533-position model. The record is from RNAcentral.
UCAGGCCUAACACAUGCAAGUCGAACGGCAGCACGGGUGCUUGCACCUGGUGGCGAGUGGCGAACGGGUGAGUAAUACAUCGGAACGUACCUUAUCGUGUGGGAUAACGCAGCGAAAGUUGCGCUAAUACCGCAUACGCCCUGAGGGGGAAAGCGGGGGACCGUAAGGCCUCGCGCGAUUAGAGCGGCCGAUGUCUGAUUAGCUUGUUGGUGAGGUAAAAGCUCACCAAGGCGAUGAUCAGUAGCUGGUCUGAGAGGACGAUCAGCCACACUGGGACUGAGACACGGCCCAGACUCCUACGGGAGGCAGCAGUGGGGAAUUUUGGACAAUGGGGGCAACCCUGAUCCAGCAAUGCCGCGUGAGUGAAGAAGGCCUUCGGGUUGUAAAGCUCUUUUGUCAGGGAAGAAACAGCAGCUCUAACACAGUUUGCGAAUGAC